Pezoporus occidentalis (night parrot) is the source of this 7110-nucleotide RNA transcript. It is a transcript of the gene named sine oculis binding protein homolog, with no coding region annotated. The transcript has 8 exons. The record is from RefSeq and is a predicted model, not a curated record. Lineage: Eukaryota; Metazoa; Chordata; Aves; Psittaciformes; Psittacidae.
CGCCGCCGCUCCCCCCCCCCGCGCCCCUCCCGGCCCCCCCAGAGCACCAGCAGCCAUUUCAUCUCCACCACCAAGUAGGCGCAAAAAAUGGCAGAAAUGGAGAAAGAAGGGAGACCUCCCGAAAAUAAAAGGAGCAGGAAGCCGGCUCACCCGGUGAAGCGGGAGAUCAACGAGGAGAUGAAGAACUUUGCAGAAAACACUAUGAAUGAGCUUCUUGGCUGGUAUGGUUACGAUAAGGUUGAAUUGAAAGAUGGAGAAGAUAUUGAAUUCAGGAACUACUCAGCAGAUGGGGAAAGCCGCCAGCACAUUUCUGUUCUUAAAGAAAAUUCUUUGCCAAAACCAAAAUUACCUGAGGACAGUGUUAUUUCACCGUACAAUAUAAAUCCAAGCUACCCAGGGCUUGCCACAGGAAAUGGACUAUCAGACUCACCAGCAGGGUCGAAGGAUCAUGGGAAUGUACCGAUUAUUGUCCCAUUAAUUCCACCACCUUUCAUAAAGCCACCAGCAGAAGAUGAUGUGUCAAAUGUACAAAUAAUGUGUGCCUGGUGCCAGAAAGUUGGAAUCAAGCGCUAUUCCCUGAGUAUGGGAAGUGAAGUGAAAUGCUUCUGCAGCGAGAAGUGCUUUGCAGCUUGCCGAAGAGCGUAUUUCAAGAGAAACAAGGCUAGAGAUGAAGAUGGACAUGCUGAAAAUUUUCCCCAGCAGCACUAUGCUAAGGAAACUCCAAGACUUGCCUUCAAGAAUAACUGCGAACUACUUGUAUGUGACUGGUGUAAGCACAUAAGACACACAAAAGAGUAUCUGGAUUUUGGGGACGGGGAAAGAAGGCUUCAGUUCUGCAGUGCAAAAUGUCUCAAUCAGUACAAAAUGGACAUUUUCUACAAAGAGACACAGGCCAAUCUUCCAGCUGGACUGUGCAGUACAUUACAUCCUCCAGUCGAAAAUAAAGCAGAAGGCACUGGGGUGCAGCUGCUGACUCCAGAUUCUUGGAAUAUACCGCUAGCAGAUGCUCGGAGAAAAGCCCCAUCCCCAGCGUCUGCAGCUGGCCAAAUUCAAGGUCCUGGACCAUCAGCGUCUACCACUGCCUCUCCGUCUGACACUGCCAACUGCUCUGUCACUAAAAUCCCCACGCCAGUUCCCAAACCUAUUCCCAUCAGUGAGAAUCCAAAUAUUCCACCAGUUUCUGUCCAGCCACCUGCUAGCAUUGUGCCUCCAAUUGGUGUCCCACCUCGCAGUCCUCCCAUGGUAAUGACAAACCGUGGGCCAGUUCCUCUGCCCAUAUUCAUGGAGCAGCAAAUUAUGCAGCAAAUCCGUCCACCAUUUAUUCGCGGGCCGCCUCACCAUGCCUCAAAUCCUAACAGCCCUCUGUCAAAUCCAAUGAUUCCUGGAAUCGGUCCGCCACCAGGUGGCCCCAGAAAUAUGGGUCCGACCUCUAGCCCCAUGCACAGGCCGAUGCUUUCCCCUCAUAUCCAUCCCCCCACAACACCUACCAUGCCUGGAAAUCCUCCCGGCUUAUUGCCGCCUCCCCCUCCCGGAGCUCCUUUGCCCAGUCUUCCCUUUCCCCCUGUCAGCAUGAUGCCAAAUGGUCCUAUGCCUAUGCCCCAGAUGAUGAACUUUGGAUUGCCAUCCCUUGCCCCGCUGGUGCCACCCCCGACUCUACUAGUGCCAUAUCCUGUCAUUGUCCCUUUGCCUGUCCCUAUCCCCAUUCCCAUUCCCAUCCCUCACAUCAAUGACUCCAAACCCCCCAAUGGCUUCUCCAGCAAUGGUGAAAGCUUCAUUCCGAGUACCUCCAAUGAAACAUCUGGGGGAAAGCCAAACAAUAGCUCUUCAUCCCCCCGAGAGUCGAAGCAAGGAUCAUCUAAAUCCUCUGACUCGUCACCGAGCUGCUCAGGCCAGUCCCUAAAUCAAGCUCAAGUGCUUCAGGAGCACAGUAAAAAUGAAGUUGUUGACUUGACUGUCAGACCUAGUAGUCCAGUGAACAGUAAAUUUGGUUUCCCCAGUGUGCUACAGGGUCCACAGGAUGGUGUGAUAGACCUAACAGUAGGCCACCGGUCUAGGCUGCACAAUGUUAUCCACAGGGCUUUACAUGCCCAAGUGAAAGUUGAACGUGAACCUAACAGUGUUGUAAAUCUGGCUUUUGGUAGCUCAGACAAAAGGAACUGCAGUGACUGCAGGGACAACUGCAGCCCAGUUGACUCAAAAACGUUACCGUGCAGUGACGGAGCUCACUGCUGUCCCGUCUCCUUGGCCUCUGGCACGCUGGGACUGGAAGCUGGUGCAGCGGUGUGCAACGUCAUUGUGAAUGGCACGAAGAGCACGGAGGGUUCCAAGAACCCGGAGCCGCCCCAGGAGCUGAAAAAGCCCCAGCCCUCGGAGGAGCUGGCUGUGAGCGAGCUGGAGUCUGUUAAGGAGAACAACUGCGCAUCAAACUGCCACCUUGAGGGAGAUGCUGGCAAGAAGGCUGGGGAAGAGCCCCUUGCUGGGGGAGACAAACAGGACCCGAACCUUAACAAUCCAGCAGACGAGGACCAUGCAUAUGCUUUGCGGAUGCUGCCCAAGACAGGUUGCGUGAUCCAGCCUGUGCCAAAACCAGCAGAAAAGACUGCUAUUGCACCGUGCAUUAUCUCAACACCAAUACUCAGCACAGGGCCAGAGGAUCUGGAGCCACCAUUGAAAAGGAGGUGUCUCCGAAUUCGAAAUCAGAAUAAGUAAAGAAGCAGGCGCUUCAAAGAGACAGCUGAGCUCAUCCUGAAGUCAACAACUAAGACAGCUCAGACAAACUGUGCCCUAGGAAUGGCUUUUUCUCCCUGCUGUGAAGGAAACUUAGUGUGACUGGCACAGACAUGGAUGUCCCCAUAGACACUAAAAGAUGUAGCCUCUGUGAGGAAGAGAUGUGAGACCAGGAUCCUUGUGUGCUUCAAGGGAAAGAGGAUACCCAAAAUACUCUGCAGAAAUAAACAGCAUAAUAACCAUCUCAUUCCAGUGGGUACCACAGUGAAAUGUGGACAGGUUUUGAGCCUUUCAAGUCACGCACAAGUGGUUUGUGCAGCUCUGAUGACUGAUUUGAGGUGUGGACUCUUUGGUUUUAUGCAGACCCCCUCCCCCUUUUGCUAGUGCUGGUCAUAGGCAGUAUAGGGGAGCAAGAAGGCCGCUUAGAUUUCUGGCCUCCCAGCAGUCUGUGAUGACUGCACAGGGCUCAGAGCCUGCCUGUCUAUACAGAGGGGAUGAGCAGAGGAAGCAAGAGGGAACAAGCAGGGGAGCAGAGCAUCAGUGCAGCCUCUUGCACCAUAGCCCUGACCUCAGCUGUGCCCAUGAGUUCCUCAUGCCCAGGCCUGGGGAAGGACAAUGGUAAAUCCCAGCUCCUUUGGCAGUCUGGUUGUGGGGAGGAUUCCUCAUGGGAGACUCCCAACUCUUCAGAAAUUAUAAUAAAAUACAAGCAAGGUAGGAGCUGAACUAAUAAUUGUGUUGACUUGGGCCCUUGGAGGUUUGUAUUGAUUGCACUGGCCACGCUAACCUGGGAGACAGAAAAAGUUCAUAGAAUUGUCUUUUUCUCUCCUGCUCCCCACCUACCCUAAUUGGAAAAUCUGAACAUGCUGCCCUAACAUGCAGCUUUCCUUGGAUUUUAUUUCCCAUAAAAUUGUAUGAAAAGAAGGAAAUUAGCCAAAUAUUUUUACGCUAGAGUUCUGGACAGACAGAUUGAAUUUGUGUAAUAGAAACAUGGGCUCUCUGAAAAGGAAUCAAUGCAAGCGUGACCUUUUCAGGCAAGUCGCCAAACUCUGGAUUAUUUAAUGUACCAAUUACUUGAUUAUUGGAAGUGCUAAUCAGCAACAUAAUCCUUGAUGUUAAAGUUUAGUCUCUCCAUCAGGAUGUGGACUGUCAAGCUGUUCUAGCUUGAUGCAGUUGGAAGGACCAGUAAAAGAUGCCUCCGUGCCAAAGUCCUACAAUGAUAAAGGAAUGAAGCUAGGAAGAAUAUUCUGUUGAGUGUUAUUUUUUCAAGUUUGAGCAACGCGAGUUUCUAAAAUUAGCAGUGUUAGUGUUGACUGCCUGCAUGCUUUAUGUCCAGGCGGGAUCAGUUUUAACCCUCCAGUUCUGGUGUCAAGGUUUCCUAAAGCAAAUAAAUGAAAACACUAGGGUCUGCUUGGAUUUAACAUGACAGUUAUUGUAAACUAAAUUAGAAAACUAAGUGGCACAUGCUAAACUCUCAGCUAGCUUCUGUGUGUGUUCAUUAAUCCUAUGCUGGGGGCAGAGGGGUAACAAAAGGAAGGAGUUUCUCUGCUUGUGUCAGCAGAAUUUCUCCAGAAGUAAUGGAAGUAGUAGGACUAUGGCCACCUACCUGUAAGUCCUGGGGUCAGCAUCUGCUGAGUUAUAGGCCCAAACCUCCAGCUGUCUAGUCCAUACAUUGUAGUUGUAAAAAUGUACAACAUGCAGAAUGCUCCAGUUCAGAGCAGAAGUAAUAUAUAUCCCACUGUGAGCUCCCCUGCCCAUAAUGGUCCAGCACAAAAUUUCCUGCUCAGGUCAGGAUUCCUGAAGCAAGGGCCAUAGCUAUUAACCUCCCUUUCUGCCUUACGAGUUUUUAUCGCUUCCCUGUCACUGUAGCAUCUAUCCGCCGGCAUCUUACCCUGCCCAGCUUCCUAUGAUCAGGACAAAAUUUGACCUUAAAGGUAUACUUGAAAACAGAUUUUUGAUAUUUAAACACAUUUUUAUGCUAGUCGUCUCCGCUGACACAGUACUGUGGGCCAGAGAUUCAGCUAAUUUUAACUGGAUAUAGUUCCACUGGUGCUAAACUAAUUUAAAUCAGCAGAGUAAUUGGACUCAUACACUUAACACCUACUCUUCUGGUUCAGAAGUUUUCCUUCACCUGGCUUCUCAGGAGCCUACAGAAAUUUUCCAUUUAUCCAAAGAGGGAGAGGAGAGGCUGCUAACACCACAAAGCCUUAAACACAUUUGCUUGUAAUGGAAGCUUUGCCCUUGAGAGAUGCCUGGCUCUAGCAGUGUGAUCUUACAUUUUAAAAUUGCCUGUGUAGCUUCUCAGAUGGAUACAUUAAAUCAGAAAAGGGGUUUCCCAGGGAAAAAAAAGGGCUCUCAAAAUGGUGAAGUAUAAAAUGACAUACUUCCAGGGUAGCUUUCAGCUCCCACAUCUUGCUGCCGGGGUGUGGGAGUGCUGACUUCCUUCUCAGGGGCAGUAAAUAGCAGGCUUGUGAUACACUGCCAUAGAUCGCUGCACACUCUUUGAAUCAAAGGAACAAGUGCUGAUUUCUGGUGGGUUCCUCCUGCUUUUCUGUAAAACCCUUUAGGGCAUAUGUUUCAAAUAUGAUAUCCGAUUCUUGAACCCAAUUUAGAAAACAAUUUCACCUGGUCUGAUUUACAGAGGUAGUGAGCAUCUAGGGCUGUUGGCAAACAAAACACAUGGCCAGAACUUCAGCGGGUAAAAAAUGGCAUAACUCAAUUGACUGAAAUCUGCAGACCUUGCAGCUCCUGGAGACUGUAGCCUACCUGUCAACUCCCAGGGUCUGGGACCACUGACUUCAGAGAUCUUUUUUGGUGCUUGCUUGCCCUUACUAGUUGUAAUUGUCUUGUGAAAUGAAAAUCAUUUGAACUGAAAUAAGCAUGUAAUCCAUGCCAUUCCCUAAGCUGGUACCACCCACAUUCAUAUUGAAAUGAGUUACUCAUAAUUCUUUGCCAGGCUUUAAAGACUGACCAGGCACUUUCAUACAUACAAGGCUAAAUGCUCCUCUUAUUUAAGCUGGUGCAAAUCAGACUGGGCUGCUCUCAAAAGUGUAAAGUGUGAAACAGGCACAGGGAAGAGUAGCUCCCCAUCUCUCUGUUCUUGUGCUGUUGAGCUACCAAAGGAAACUUUAUGGGGAAAAAAAAGCACAACUCAUGAUUAAAUACAGAGUCCCUAACAACAAAGACCAUAGUAAACCAGAGCAGUAAACCAGACAAGGGUUUACAGACCCUUGUAAAAACAUCAUCUGAGACAAUGGUUGCCAUUACAUUCAGAGGCCGAGAUGCUGGACAGUAUGUGUCUGAUUGCUGCUGAAAUCUGAUAAGGAGCUAAGCACCUAAUAACCUUUGUGAAGCUUGACCCUGAAACAAUCAUAGCCAACUUCAGUGCAGAACGGUGAGAUCUGAACAACUGUUAGGAUUUUACAAACUAUUUCUCAGGAGCAAUACUUGAAAGUGGGUCAGAAAGAAGCAAAACACUUUCGGGGACUGUGGUUGUGAAAAAGAUGGGCAUAAUCAAGCAGUGAGCAAUAGAUUUUAAGAUAAAACUAAGUUCUUUCUAAAAAAGCAGGGGGAGAUUCAAGCAAAGCAGAAGCAAAGCUGUUUGCACAAGAAAUCACGAGGAAAUCAGAUUGACCAGCAAGCUUUUCUGAAGCACUUUUUGUUUCCAGAUUACCUGCUGAGUCUCUCCUGUCUAUUUUUAAGUAUUUUUACAGAGCAAACCAGGCAAUUUAAGCACAUUCCUGGGUGCUUCCAUCAGUUGAGUUCCCAUGGCUGACACCUACUAAUCACUACCUUAUUUACACUAUUUUGAUAACAAGGUGCAUUUCACUCCCAGGACCAGAGGUUGUGUUUGGAAGCAUGUGUGAUCAUCCUGUGAGAACUGUGAGUCGGAGUAACCUCUGACAUUCUGCAGAACCCUCGACUAUUCGACAUUUUCUUCUACCAUGAGAAAAUUACAACUAAUUAAAUAUCUAGGUUUGAUCCUGUGCAGUACUGUGCACACUCAGCGCUCAGUGCCUCUAAUGCAAGUUGAAAGCUCUCAGCACAUUACAGAUGAGGUCCUGCUUCUGACUCAUCUGCAUGGCUUUACUUCCCCAGACACGAUUUUGGUAUUUGAAGAGACUGGUAUUCCUGUACAACAUGUGUCUCAAUUUGUAAUGGUAUCCUCCCUGCAGCUGGCUCACUUUUCCAAGUGUUCCUGAAACAUUACUGUCUUAAAUUCAAGCCAACCUACAAUAACAAAUUAUCUAGCGGCACAGCGGCUGAACUGUGUUUGUUGAGAGGAUGCUCCCAUUCUCUGCUGCACUCCAUCUUCCCAGUUUCAGACUUUCAGGCUGUGUAAUGUAAUCAUCUUCUAUGGAAGCACACAUUUCCUCCCCCCAAAAA